GAUGAACGCUAGCUACAGGCUCAACACAUGCAAGUCGAGGGGUAACGAGAGGAAAGCUUGCUUUCCUUGUCGACGACCGGCGCACGGGUGAGUAACGCGUAUCCAACCUGCCCCCAACUAGGGAAUAACCUUGCGAAAGUAAGACUAAUACCUUAUAAUUUCCUCAGAUGACAUCUGACGAGGAAUAAAGAUUUAUCGGUUGUGGAUGGGGAUGCGUCUGAUUAGCUUGUUGGCGGGGUAACGGCCCACCAAGGCAACGAUCAGUAGGGGUCCUGAGAGGAAGGUCCCCCACAUUGGAACUGAGACACGGUCCAAACUCCUACGGGAGGCAGCAGUGAGGAAUAUUGGUCAAUGGGCGGAAGCCUGAACCAGCCAAGUAGCGUGCAGGAUGACGGCCCUAUGGGUUGUAAACUGCUUUUAUACAGGAAUAAAGUUAGCCACGUGUGGUUAUUUGUAGGUACUGUAUGAAUAAGGACCGGCUAAUUCCGUGCCAGCCGCCGCAGUAA
Molecule: ribosomal RNA, 506 nt
Filed under: uncultured bacterium
Lineage: Bacteria
Description: partial 16S ribosomal RNA
Rfam family: Bacterial small subunit ribosomal RNA
Source: RNAcentral